AGCAGCCGCGGUAAUUCCAGCUCCAAUAGCGUAUAUUAAAGUUGUUGCAGUUAAAAAGCUCGUAGUUGAAUUUCGGAAUCGACGGAUUGAUCGCGCCUUCGGUGUGUACUGGUCUUGCCGGUUUCUCCCUUCUGACGAACCACGAUGUCAUUAAUUUGGUGUCGUGGGGAAUCAGGACUGUUACUUUGAAAAAUUAGAGUGUUUAAAGCAGGCAUUAGCUUGAAUACAUUAGCAUGGAAUAAUGAAAUAGGACGUUUGAUCUUAUUUUGUUGGUUUCUAGGAUCGACGUAAUGAUUAAUAGGGAUAGUUGGGGGCAUUAGUAUUCAAUUGUCAGAGGUGAAAUUCUUGGAUUUAUUGAAGACUAACUACUGCGAAAGCAUUUGCCAAGGAUGUUUUCAUUAAUCAAGAACGAAAGUUAGGGGAUCGAAGACGAUCAGAUACCGUCGUAGUCUUAACCAUAAACUAUGCCGACUAGGGAUCGGAUGAUGUUAAUUUUUAAUGACUCA
This 506-nucleotide ribosomal RNA is filed under the name uncultured Glomeraceae. RNAcentral's name for it is "SSU rRNA". It matches the Rfam family "Eukaryotic small subunit ribosomal RNA", at positions 569 to 1078 of the family's 1831-position model. The record is from RNAcentral. Lineage: Eukaryota; Fungi; Glomeromycota; Glomeromycetes; Glomerales; Glomeraceae.